This 253-nucleotide ribosomal RNA is filed under the name uncultured bacterium. RNAcentral's name for it is "partial 16S ribosomal RNA". It matches the Rfam family "Bacterial small subunit ribosomal RNA", at positions 524 to 776 of the family's 1533-position model. The record is from RNAcentral.
UACGGGGGGGGCAAGCGUUGUUCGGAAUUACUGGGCGUAAAGGGCUCGUAGGCGGCCAACUAAGUCGGACGUGAAAUCCCCAGGCUCAACCUGGGAACUGCGUCCGAUACUGGAUGGCUUGAAUCCGGGAGAGGGAUGCAGAAUUCCAGGUGUAGCGGUGAAAUGCGUAGAUAUCUGGAGGAACACCGGUGGCGAAGGCAGCAUCCUGGACCGGCAUUGACGCUGAAGAGCGAAAGCCAGGGGAGCAAACGGG